CUGCAUACCUCCAGUUUUUUUCUGGAUCACUACAUUCCAGAUCUCGCAGGACAAGAAGAAUAGCUGUUCAUCGCAUUAACGCAGCAUAUCAAACCUGCAUGUAUUUGGGAUAUGACUCCUCCUUAGAAAACAAAAGUUUUAACCUACGACUAUACAAUGGCAUGUUAACUUUUCACCUCAACCACAGACAACCGUGCCCUAACCGUGAACUAAUGAAACAUUGCAACAUAACAAGAAAGCCUCCCCGGUGAAAUGGGCAUCUUUCCUUCUAGCAACAGACCCCAUUCAAUCAUCCCAUUCUAGCUAACACAAUGCAAAUGCAGAAAACUGUUCAAACAUAUAUUAUCGAGAAAAAAAAACAUGACUAGCGAUAGAAGUUCCACAUACAUCUAGCAGUUACAGAAGAUCGCUACAAACAUUGUAGGUAGAUGCAAAUGGUCCAACUCUUGAGAUACCUAAGCUGUAUCAGAUCAGCUUUAGACCAGAAGCUAGUUCCAACCCAGUGAACAUGAACCUGCAAAGACAGCAAACACCAAAAAAGAAAACAAAGGUGCAAUGUUCAUAACGAGCCAGCUACCGAAUGAGAAACCAAGCACCAAAGGAACUCUAACAGGUCUUCUCUAAAACAGCCCUGACUGCAAGCGAAUAGGCAUUCUACUGUAGACAUUGCCGUUAUGUCUUGGUAAACAACUCCUUUCGUUCCUCCUUGUCACAUAACUCCACCACGGUGCCCUCUGAAAUUUCCCGUUCAUCCUGCAUCAUGUUUCCUACAACCACAAGAUAAAUCACGAAUUAGUCAUGACAGAACAAAACUCAGAACAUUUCUAUUUCCCCCUUUUGAAAGACUAGAGGUUACCAAGCUAUGAACGCUCAGUCAAUGGUGACCUUCCCCAUCUCCUUCACUAUUACUAUUAGGUGUUCCUCUACCAUUUAGAACAGCAUCCUCGUCUGACGUCAUGUGUUGUGCUGUUUGC
Molecule: long non-coding RNA, 974 nt
Filed under: Linum usitatissimum (flax)
Lineage: Eukaryota; Viridiplantae; Streptophyta; Magnoliopsida; Malpighiales; Linaceae
Description: long non-coding RNA (LUSI_LNC002156)
Source: RNAcentral